RNAcentral lists this ribosomal RNA (253 nucleotides) under uncultured bacterium. Its description in RNAcentral is "partial 16S ribosomal RNA". It matches the Rfam family "Bacterial small subunit ribosomal RNA", at positions 524 to 776 of the family's 1533-position model. The record is from RNAcentral.
GACAGAGGGUGCAAACGUUGUUCGGAAUUACUGGGCGCAAAGCGUGUGUAGGCGGUCUCUUAAGUCGGAUGUGAAAGCCCCGGGCUCAACCCGGGAAGUGCACUCGAAACUGGGAGGCUAGAGUACUGGAGAGGUUGGUGGAAUUCUCGGUGUAGAGGUGAAAUUCGUAGAUAUCGAGAGGAACACCGGUGGCGAAGGCGGCCAACUGGACAGAUACUGACGCUGAGACACGAAAGCGUGGGGAGCAAACAGG